This is a non-coding RNA of Danio rerio (zebrafish), 73 nucleotides long. Lineage: Eukaryota; Metazoa; Chordata; Actinopteri; Cypriniformes; Danionidae. The record is from Rfam.
GCCUGCCUAGCUCAGUCGGUAGAGCAUGAGACUCUUAAUGUCAGGGUCGUGGGUUCGAGCCCUACGUUUGGCG